This 767-nucleotide ribosomal RNA is filed under the name uncultured Helotiaceae. RNAcentral describes it as "eukaryotic LSU rRNA". The stretch from base 408 to 561 matches the Rfam family "5.8S ribosomal RNA". Lineage: Eukaryota; Fungi; Ascomycota; Leotiomycetes; Helotiales; Helotiaceae. The record is from RNAcentral.
CUUGGUCAUUUAGAGGAAGUAAAAGUCGUAACAAGGUUUCCGUAGGUGAACACCUUUUCCAGGUUCGCCCAAACAAGUCUGUGCUUAGCAGGCAACAUCUCUACUGUGCUAGGAUUCACAAAUAUUGUGAUACCAGCAGCCUAGAAAUGGGCUCACAGGUCAAAUAGAGGUGGCCCUAUGGGGUUAAGAUAUGAUCGAGUUCCUGCUUGAGAUAGCAGGUAUUCCCACGCUGCGGAAGGAUCAUUACAGAGAACAUGCCCUUCGGGGUAUACCUCCCACCCUUUGUCUACAAUACCUUUGUUGCUUUGGCAGGCCUGUCUCACGACUACUGGCUUUAGCUGGUCCGUGCCUGCCAGAGGACCCAACACUCUUUUAUUAUGUCGUCUGAGUACUAUAAAAAUAGUUAAAACUUUCAACAACGGAUCUCUUGGUUCUGGCAUCGAUGAAGAACGCAGCGAAAUGCGAUAAGUAAUGUGAAUUGCAGAAUUCAGUGAAUCAUCGAAUCUUUGAACGCACAUUGCGCCCCUUGGUAUUCCGAGGGGCAUGCCUGUUCGAGCGUCAUUAUGACCACUCAAGCCUAGCUUGGUAUUGGGGUUCGCGGUCUCGCGGCUCUUAAAAUCAGUGGCGGUGCCAUCUGGCUCUAAGCGUAGUAAUUCUCUCGCUAUAGGGCUCCGGUAGUUGCUUGCCAAAACCCCCCUAUUUCUCACGGUUGACCUCGGAUCAGGUAGGGAUACCCGCUGAACUUAAGCAUAUCAAUAAGCGGAGGA